Long non-coding RNA from Cyprinus carpio (common carp), 2998 nucleotides. RefSeq lists it as uncharacterized. The transcript has 5 exons. Lineage: Eukaryota; Metazoa; Chordata; Actinopteri; Cypriniformes; Cyprinidae. The record is from RefSeq and is a predicted model, not a curated record.
GAUGGAAGAAUGUGUCAGUUGGUGCGGUGGAGUACAGUUUUUCUUCAUCAUGUACAUAGACGCUGCUACUGGGUUGAAUGACCUGUUAACAUCUGCUUCCAAAAUAUACAGUUUACCGCUAAGGCUAAUUCACAUCACUCAAAUCUUUCCAGUGUAAAGAUUUUUUUAACAUGACCUUUUAUUUUCACAACAACUAAAAUAAGCUUAACUCUCUGUUCUGCGACUAUUUAUGAACGGAAAUGCGGAAAUGAAGUCUCAGGUAUUUGCUUUUCAAAAAAUGAAGCAGGUCCAAAAAGGCUGGUUUAUUUCAAAUUUGUUGCUUAAUGGAUAUUAAUGGAACUUUUAAAUUGGCAUAAAUGGAACCAUAGUAUCUUUUUAUUCUGAUGUUAAUCUAAAAUCUUUUCUCCACAUUCGCUGAAAUGUGUUUAACCUGGUUUAGGGUUUGGCAGUGACUUUCCAAACAGGGAUGUGAUAUUUUUCCUUCACUGCAUGGAACAAAGAGUGGCCUGUCUCAAUGCUUUUACACCUUCAGGGGGUUUAGGCUUAUGAAACAUCUGGCUACAUAGUGGACCACAUCUGGAUACAUAGAUUUUAUUUUAUUUUAUUUUAUCAAAACAUAUUAGACAUACAGGUUAGACAUGAAAUAUAUAAAAAUUCUAGAAAUUAUACUGUUUUCUUGCACUUAAAAUGUUUUAUUUAAAAAAAGUUGAAUCAAAAAGAAACCACCAGAUUUAGCAACUUUAUGACAUAACUUUUUUGCCAUGUACGAGUCAAAAUGCCAUGUAAAGGACAGUGAUUUCUCUCUGCCUACAUGCUGGCCAUGCAAAACAUAAGGGCAUUUACAGCAAAACCAGUGUGGCAGGUUUACCAAUCACCACUGGCAGCCUCCGUCUGGUUCGGGGCCAUCAGGUUACCAUAAUGAAACUCCCAGUCCCAUUUUCCAUGCCAAAAGAUAUGAUGGCUUCCAACAAUAACUAAACACUGCUAAAAUGCUAUAAUUCUUAAAUAUAUAGAACCUCAAUCUGAGGAUGAAAAUACUCACCCACGCUCUGCAUUUACUACACUUGAACGUUGUAUACAAAUAAAACAGAGAGUUCAAAUGUAUGUUAAUGUAUACAAAGCAUAUGUAAAUAAAGUAACUGAUACAAGGAAACAAAAGCAGAAAUAGAAAAGCUAGCAAAAAGAGGGCAUUUAUAGUGGAAAAAAUGAAACUGGUUACACAGCUAAGAUUGGCCAUGAUUGUAGGCUAAAUAUAUGAAGAAGAAAAAAAACUAUAUUGGCUAACAUGAAAGUACCUUUUAAUAAACAUUAUUAGGUUUAUAACAGUCAUUAGGUUUAUUUAUAUCCACAGAGUCUGGGUAGCUCCACCCACCGUAAAAUCUUAAUGGUCUAAAUGUAUACUAAACGUUUUGAUCUUCAUCACAAGACAUUAUAAUGGUCAUCAAAAUGUAAGAAGCUACAACAAUAUGCCUUUCGUUUCAUGCUACCAAGAUUCAAAUCUGAAUAUCUGAGGAAGAAUGAAUUUCUUUUCCAAAUAUAGGCCAUCGUUUUGCUCCACUAGUAGUCACUUCUCCUGUUCCAGUGGUCAGAGGUAGGAAAAUUUCAGCGCUUAAAAUGGUUGUGGUCUAGUUUCAGCGUUGCACCAUUUUUCACUUCACUUUCCACUUUCUCCCUGCUCUGUUUAUGGGUUAACCACACGUUCACUCAUUCAUUCAGCACAGCACAGAUGCUGCUGUAGGCAUCGUGCGGCCUGGGUGCAUGUGAAUUAUAUGGGUGCCAAAACACUGCAGUUAAGUAAGUCAGAGAAUGCUAAAAAUAUAUUGAUUUCAAUGGGAAGGUGUGCAUCACGAUGUUGAGAUUCAGAAAGUUACACUCUCUCAUAGAAUUAAAACUUUUUCUGCAACACUCUAAUAAAGCCGCAAUCACAUUUCCAUGUAUAUGAAAUUCAGUCUUUCCAAUAGAAAUCCAUGCAAAUGGGAAGUUCGCGCAAAGGUGAAAGAUUUCCCUACACAGAUUUUGUACCAGGUUCAAGUUGGUCACAUAAAUGGGCCUCAUUGACGAAAGCUGAAAUUUUACUGAAAAUUGUGAACAAAAUUGUGGACCAAUGACAUUUCAGAGUGGGUGUGGCUACCUGGCACAAUGGUACAGAACUAGAAACCAAAUGUCAGGACCGUCACCUGUUACAGACGAGGGGGCAUGUGCAUGUGUGUUAGACUUACUGGACUUCAGGAUGUGAAGGCCCACUGUAUUACCCCGUUUCCUCUUCCUCUCUUCUCCCUUAUGGCUCACAUCAGGUAUAUAGUCCAUGGGAAAAGGAAGAGAGUGAGACGAAAGGGCGCCAAGUUCCCAUAAGAGCUGUUCCAAUUCUCAACAAUCCAUAACCAGCUUUACCAGCUCAGAAUGAAGGAAGUUCUGUGCUGACAUUGUGGAAAAAGCUGUAGUAAGAGCCAGAUUGCUGGAGCAGGGAGAUUGGUGACCAGAGGAAGUAAUAAUAGCAUGUGUCCUGACUGAUAGGGUACUGGACCCUCUUGUAGUUUCAACAGUGACGCUGUUAAGUCUCGUGACGGCUUCCUUGCCUGCCCUGAGGAAUUUUUCCUGUCAAAGAAGUAUUUUUGACCCAAGAAUGCUUUGUUGUUCACUCUGAACAGCUUGUUAAGCAAACAUUCUUAUCUCAGAUCUCGAUGAGAAUCCAAGACCGCCACCAACUUCCCUCUUCUGACAUCACAACAGGUUGAGCAGAGGUCCUUGUGUGAUAGUAUAACCAGGAGAUGUCUUGAUCUUUGGGCUCCCAAAUAAUUAUAGCUACUGGAUAGUGAAGAGUCUCUGUCUAUAUAAAGGGUCAAAACACAAAGAUGGUGAGAGCAUGAAUCUCAUCAUAGUGGAAUAAUCUUCAGCAGAAUUCCUCAAAAUCAGAAAACCUUGAUGACACAGCACUCACUUGAAUACCUGAAUCAUAACAUCAUAGCCAUCUAUACUAAGGCAAGUUCUACUAUAUUUA